Pogoniulus pusillus (Red-fronted tinkerbird) is the source of this 1407-nucleotide long non-coding RNA. RefSeq lists it as uncharacterized. The record is from RefSeq and is a predicted model, not a curated record. NCBI's taxonomy places the organism in Eukaryota, Metazoa, Chordata, Aves, Piciformes, Lybiidae. The transcript is spliced from 2 exons.
AGUCAACAUUGGCAGGGCUGGGAGCCCUGCCGUGACCACAGCUUUUGAGCAAACACUGCUUUUUUUUUUCCACCCUGCCAGGUGACUGCUGCAAUGUUCCUGGGAAAGGUGUAACCUACAAACUGUCAGCACCACUGGCCCUACCUACCGAGCUGUCAUCACCUCCCGUUAGCACAAUGGGCUACAGUUGCUUCAUAAAGCUGAAAAUAACCCAGUGCCAGAAGAUUGAAGGACACAUCACCUUUCUGACACAGGCACAAUCCCAAGCUAACCCUAUGCAUCCGUUUCCUGAAAAGAAAACUGAGCUUCCCCCCUGCUUUCUGAAAGACUUUGGGAGAGUUCUGCAAGGCAGGAGGCGCCCAAGUAGCUUCUGACCAUCGCUACUUAAAUUUUGCAUGGAAAAAUGUUUUCUACAAAACCACUGGCUGCCUGCUUGGCCACAGCCACGUCACCUUGUGCCCAAAGGAGCUAUGCUUAGCUGCAGAUUCAAAAUCUGCGCCCUGCUCCACGCUUCAAAUGCCUCCAGAAUCCUCUGGCAGAUGCGACCAAUGAAGUACCCUCAAGAGGAGAAAAACCUGACCACUGUCUGCAGAUCCUGAUGCUGCUGCAGCCACUUGAACCAGGGAGGGAGCAGCAAGCCUGGAAAUCUCCUGGAGUGCUGGCAUUUGGGUGGGCUUUUUAAAACCAGUAUGAACAGCUGCUUUUGGUUGCUACUUCUGAGCAUGCCAGCUCUUUCAAAGAUGAAUCUCUGUGCUUUGUGAAAGCUGUUCUUUGGGUCCACACAGCACUCAAGCCUGGGGACAAGAGGGUUAACCAGCACGUGGUGAAUCAGAUGUGCAACUUGGGGAUACAAUUGGAUUUUGUCUGCUUUUGGGAUAGACACUGCCAAGCUUUGUUCAUGGUUCUAGCCCCGUCCUACCAUGUGAGCAUGAACAAGGGUGCAACAUCCAACCCUGCAUCUCUGGACCCCAUGGUGGGACGGAGUUGGGAGCAAGCGAUGGACCUGGGAGCAGUGGAUGGAGCUGGGAGUGGGGAAUGGAGUCAGGAGCAUGAAGUAGCAGGUCAUGAUUCCCAAAGGGCCCUUCAGAACUUGGACUCUCCCUCACCUAGUCACGGAAUGCUGCCAGAGGAGCCCACUCACGCGCACAAGUCUCAGCCCAUGCUGGAAAAGUGAUUUCAUGGCAGAACACCCAUGUCCCUGGGCAUGGCCCAUUUCUGCUUCCACAGCUGAAUUUAUUUUCAGCCCAUUGUGUGUGGUGAGUCACAGAUUUCUAACUGGGGCAGAUGGGACCGUUUUGACUGUAAAAUCAAAACAAUGGAUGUUACUGCAGUACAUGGCACUGCUAUUAAAAGCUCUGUCAAGUAACUAAAAUAGAGCCUGUGACAAUAAAUCACCUCCUACAAGUG